ACCAGACUCCUACGGGAGGCAGCAGUGAGGAAUGUUGGUCAAUGGCCGAGAGGCUGAACCAGCCAAGUCGCGUGAGGGAAGAAUGUCCUAUGGAUUGUAAACCUCUUUUGUCGGGGAGCAAAGCGAACCACGUGUGGCUCAUUGAGAGUACCCGAAGAAAAAGCAUCGGCUAACUCCGUGCCAGCAGCCGCGGUAAUACGGAGGAUGCGAGCGUUAUCCGGAUUUAUUGGGUUUAAAGGGUGCGCAGGCGGAGGUGCAAGUCAGCGGUCAAAUUGCGGGGCUCAACCCCGUACUGCCGUUGAAACUGCAUCCCUUGAGUGCGCGAGAAGUAUGCGGAAUGCGUGGUGUAGCGGUGAAAUGCAUAGAUAUCACGCAGAACUCCGAUUGCGAAGGCAGCAUACCGGCGCCCAACUGACGCUGAAGCACGAAAGCGUGGGUACCGAACAGGAUUAGAUACCCGAGUAUC
This 466-nucleotide ribosomal RNA is filed under the name uncultured bacterium. RNAcentral describes it as "bacterial SSU rRNA". It matches the Rfam family "Bacterial small subunit ribosomal RNA", at positions 330 to 794 of the family's 1533-position model. The record is from RNAcentral.